This 426-nucleotide ribosomal RNA is filed under the name uncultured bacterium. RNAcentral's name for it is "partial 16S ribosomal RNA". It matches the Rfam family "Bacterial small subunit ribosomal RNA", at positions 354 to 796 of the family's 1533-position model. The record is from RNAcentral.
GUGAGGAAUUUUCCGCAAUGGGCGAAAGCCUGACGGAGCAAUGCCGCGUGAAGGAUGAAGGCCUAUGGGUUGUAAACUUCUUUUCUCAGAAAAGAAUUAUGACGGUAUCUGAGGAAUAAGCAUCGGCUAACUCUGUGCCAGCAGCCGCGGUAAGACAGAGGAUGCAAGCGUUAUCCGGAAUGAUUGGGCGUAAAGCGUCUGUAGGUUGUUUAAAAAGUAUUCUGUCAAAGAUUAGGGCUUAACCCUAGAUAGGCAGAAUAAAGUUUUAAGCUAGAGUUUGGUAGAGGCAGAGGGAAUUCCCGGUGGAGCGGUGAAAUGCGUAGAUAGCGGGAGGAACACCAAAGGCGAAGGCACUCUGCUGGGCCAAUACUAACACUGAGAGACGAAAGCGAGGGGAGCAAAUGGGAUUAGAAACCCUGGUAGUCC